AUUGAACGCUGGCGGAAUGCUUUACACAUGCAAGUCGAGCGGCAGCACGGGGGCAACCCUGGUGGCGAGCGGCGAACGGGUGAGUAAUACAUCGGAACAUGCCCAGUCGUGGGGGAUAACACUUCGAAAGAAGUGCUAAUACCGCAUACGUCCUGAGGGAGAAAGCGGGGGAUCGCAAGACCUCGCGCGAUUGGAGUGGCCGAUGUCAGAUUAGCUAGUUGGUGGGGUAAAGGCCUACCAAGGCAACGAUCUGUAGCUGGUCUGAGAGGAUGAUCAGCCACACUGGGACUGAGACACGGCCCAGACUCCUACGGGAGGCAGCAGUGGGGAAUUUUGGACAAUGGGGGGCAACCCUGAUCCAGCCAUUCCGCGUGAGUGAAGAAGGCCUUCGGGUUGUAAAGACUCUUUCUAGCAGGACGAAACGGCGAGUACUAAUACUGCUCGCUAAUGAC
RNAcentral lists this ribosomal RNA (452 nucleotides) under uncultured bacterium. RNAcentral describes it as "bacterial SSU rRNA". It matches the Rfam family "Bacterial small subunit ribosomal RNA", at positions 30 to 473 of the family's 1533-position model. The record is from RNAcentral.